Molecule: ribosomal RNA, 495 nt
Filed under: uncultured bacterium
Lineage: Bacteria
Description: partial 16S ribosomal RNA
Rfam family: Bacterial small subunit ribosomal RNA
Source: RNAcentral
GACGAACGCUGGCGGCGUGCCUAAUACAUGCAAGUAGAACGCUGAAGGAGGAGCUUGCUCUUCUGGAUGAGUUGCGAACGGGUGAGUAACGCGUAGGUAACCUGCCUGGUAGCGGGGGAUAACUAUUGGAAACGAUAGCUAAUACCGCAUAAGAGUAGAUGUUGCAUGACAUUUGCUUAAAAGGUGCAAUUGCAUCACUACCAGAUGGACCUGCGUUGUAUUAGCUAGUUGGUGGGGUAACGGCCCACCAAGGCGACGAUACAUAGCCGACCUGGGAGGGGGAUCGGCCACACUGGGACUGAGACACGGCCCAGACUCCUACGGGAGGCAGCAGUAGGGAAUCUUCGGCAAUGGACGGAAGUCUGACCGAGCAACGCCGCGUGAGUGAAGAAGGUUUUCGGAUCGUAAAGCUCUGUUGUAAGAGAAGAACGAGUGUGAGAGUGGAAAGUUCACACUGUGACGGUAUCUUACCAGAAAGGGACGGCUAACUACGUG